GUUAGGUCCUCACUGGAGAAGGUAAUUGAUUUUACUAAGUCCAACCAUUCAAAUGUUAAUCUCAUCCAGAAACAACCUCACAGACACAAUGAGGAGUAAUGUUUAAUCUGGGCACCCUGUGUCCCAGUCAAGUUGACACAAAAAAUUGACCACAGGAGUUCCCAGGGAACAAGGUGAAAAUUACAACCUGUCACUUCUGCUAUCUUCUCAUUGGUUAAUACAGCCAUAGCCCUUCCCAGAUUCAAUAGGGGGGAUAGAAACCCAUUUCUAUGAAAGAAAUGUGAAAGUUGUCAGAGGAAAAAUGGAGUCAAUUGUGUCAACCGUAGCAAGAAAGUGAACAAAACUGGGAGGUUAUAAAGGAAAGAUUCUUAUACGUUUGCCUGACAGUUAUUAUCACAAAAGACUGUGAGAACCACAAACUUGGACAGAGACCUCCACAACCUUCUACACAAGGUACUUCUCUACUAAGACAUGGGCUCAGCAACUAUCCAACCUUGGGGUUGGAAUUGAAUCCAACCUCCCCACAAGCUGGUAAAUAACAAUAAGCACACUUAUUGUUAGUCAUUGUGGUCAAAGAUUAUUGUUUCAAAAUAUCUGAUGUAAAUCCUCUUGCCUUUAAAAACUUCUAUUUGCUUAGCCUUUUUGAGGAUGCCCAUACUUUACUAUGGUAUGUAUAUUUCUUUUUUAAAAUAUUUUAUUGAUUUUAUUUUUUAAAAUACAUGACAGCAGUGGAAUGCAUAUUACACAUAUAGAGCACAAUUUUUCAUAUCUCUGUAUAUAAAGUAUGUUCUUACCAAUUCAUGC
RNAcentral lists this long non-coding RNA (804 nucleotides) under Marmota monax (woodchuck). The record is from RNAcentral. Lineage: Eukaryota; Metazoa; Chordata; Mammalia; Rodentia; Sciuridae.